This is a long non-coding RNA of Bufo bufo (common toad), 147 nucleotides long. RefSeq lists it as uncharacterized. The transcript is spliced from 3 exons. The record is from RefSeq and is a predicted model, not a curated record. NCBI's taxonomy places the organism in Eukaryota, Metazoa, Chordata, Amphibia, Anura, Bufonidae.
AAGAGGUGUAGUAUGAAGCGUGGGAUGGUGUGCAUGUAGCAGAGCUGUGUGUGUGUGUGCAUGUAGCAGAGCUGUGUGUGUGAAACUAAGAUACAGAUGUCAGAGCAGCAGAGCUCUGUGUGUGUGAGGUGCAUGUAGCAGAGCUGU